AACGGAGAAGUCAAGAUUGUUGC
This 23-nucleotide non-coding RNA is filed under the name Arabidopsis thaliana (thale cress). Lineage: Eukaryota; Viridiplantae; Streptophyta; Magnoliopsida; Brassicales; Brassicaceae. The record is from RNAcentral.